This 335-nucleotide unclassified non-coding RNA is filed under the name uncultured fungus. RNAcentral describes it as "partial contains 5.8S ribosomal RNA, internal transcribed spacer 2, and large subunit ribosomal RNA". Lineage: Eukaryota; Fungi. The record is from RNAcentral.
AACGCAUAUUGCGCUCGAGCCCUCGGGCAAGAGCAUGUCUGCCUCAGCGUCGGUUUACACCCUCACCCCUCCCACUUUUGUUGGGUGUGUUGGCUUCUAUGCCAGCCAUAGGGGUGGAUCUGGCUUCCCCAAUUCGCUGUAGUGGAUUGGGUUGGCUGAAGUAUAGAGGCUUAAGCAAGGACCCGAUAUGGGCUUCAACUGGAUAGGUAGCACCGGCUUUCGCCGACUACACGAAGUUGUUGCUUGUGGAUCUUGCUAGAGGCCAAGCAGGAACGUGCCUUUGGCAUGUCUAAACUUUCGACCUGAGCUCAGGCAAGGCUACCCGCUGAACUUAA